CCUGAGUUUAUGCAAAGCGUUUCCGGGUAUGCCUAGGAUCCACUGUGCG
This 49-nucleotide unclassified non-coding RNA is filed under the name Mammarenavirus piritalense. Its description in RNAcentral is "3' non-coding region (NCR)". The record is from RNAcentral. Lineage: Riboviria; Orthornavirae; Negarnaviricota; Bunyaviricetes; Hareavirales; Arenaviridae.